RNAcentral lists this ribosomal RNA (440 nucleotides) under uncultured bacterium. RNAcentral describes it as "partial 16S ribosomal RNA". It matches the Rfam family "Bacterial small subunit ribosomal RNA", at positions 338 to 795 of the family's 1533-position model. The record is from RNAcentral.
CCUACGGGAGGCAGCAGUGGGGAAUAUUGCACAAUGGGGGAAACCCUGAUGCAGCGACGCCGCGUGAGUGAAGAAGUAAUUCGUUAUGUAAAGCUCUAUCAGCAGGGAAGAAAAUGACGGUACCUGAGUAAGACGCCCCGGCUAACUCCGUGCCAGCAGCCGCGGUCAUACGUAGGGGGCAAGCGUUAUCCGGAUUUACUGGGUGUAAAGGGAGCGUAGACGGCAGUGCAAGUCUGGAGUGAAAGGCGGGGGCUCAACCCCCGGACUGCUCUGGAAACUGUACGGCUGGAGUGCAGGAGAGGUAAGUGGAAUUCCUAGUGUAGCGGUGAAAUGCGUAGAUAUUAGGAGGAACACCAGUGGCGAAGGCGGCUUACUGGACUGUAACUGACGUUGAGGCUCGAAAGCGUGGGGAGCAAACAGGAUUAGAUACCCGAGUAGUC